RNAcentral lists this long non-coding RNA (979 nucleotides) under Triticum aestivum (bread wheat). RNAcentral describes it as "long non-coding RNA (TAES_LNC012689)". The record is from RNAcentral. Lineage: Eukaryota; Viridiplantae; Streptophyta; Magnoliopsida; Poales; Poaceae.
UGUUACAACAAAUAGGAACUAGAUUAGCAAACACAAGAUGGUGAUAUUGAGGUAGCAACUUGUGUAUGUGGGUGUGGGUGUGUGUUCUUUUUCUGUCUUUUUCUUCUUCUUGUGUCGGACCCGAAAGGCGGCAAGAGUUGUGUGUAAAACAGAUGAAGAGAGAAGGGGGAGGAGCUGAGCUGACCCCAUGUGAAGCCCUCGCGCAAUCGCUCUUCACGACGACCCCGACGCAUCUGCGAGCGCUGUCGACAACCGGGAGGCCUGACACGAGCUGAAAGUGGCCUUCAACCUCCACCAGCGCCUGCUCCGCUGUGACCAUCAGCACGGGCGUCGACAUGGCCUCGCGCAGGAGCGGCCCCCGCUGCUGCAACCAACCAAGCAACAAGGUUCAAAGUCAAGCAAGGGAUCAAGAAGAAGAAGCACCAUCAAGAGAGGAGAUGACAGAGACUACAAGAUCAGCAGGAAGAAGCAGCAUCAAGAGAGGACAUGGCCAGAGACUACAAAGAUCAGCAAGAAGAAGCACCUGAUCGGCAGCGUGGGAAGGUGGCUGCUGCUGCUGCUGCUGCUGGGACUGGAGGUAGGCGCGGAGGUCGUCGUAGCUGAGGAGGGAGAAGUUCUCGGGCCACUCGCCGGAGAUGAUGGCGUCGGGGUUCUCGUCGAGCCCGAGCCGGAGCCCGCUCCCGUCCAUGAACGUGGACGCCCGGCACCCGAAGCUCCCUGCGCCGGUGGCUUUGCCCCUUCUGGCCUCAGCCUUGGCCCCUUUGAACAUGGAGCAGCUCUGCAAGGUAUUGAUGCACGCCAUGGAUGCUACUCUUCCUUGUCUCGUGUGGUGGAUGUUGUCUGACUGUGUUCUCUUGCAGAUCCCAGCAGGAGGGCUCCAUUUAUAGGGAGUGAAGCUGGAGGCGCUGGGAUCGCUCCAUGCCCAUUGUCAGUGAGCUGAGCUGGAUGGGCAUGCUUGCAUGGGGAGGGAGGGGCUGGC